AGAUCAAGGUCCGCUGGUUUGGGCGAUUAGUUGUUAACUAAUUUUUUGUAGGGUCGAGGCCUACUGGUCUAG
Molecule: transfer RNA, 72 nt
Filed under: Gekko smithii
Lineage: Eukaryota; Metazoa; Chordata; Lepidosauria; Squamata; Gekkonidae
Description: partial tRNA-Asn
Source: RNAcentral